RNAcentral lists this ribosomal RNA (494 nucleotides) under uncultured bacterium. RNAcentral describes it as "partial 16S ribosomal RNA". It matches the Rfam family "Bacterial small subunit ribosomal RNA", at positions 28 to 507 of the family's 1533-position model. The record is from RNAcentral.
GACGAACGCUGGCGGCGCGCUUAACACAUGCAAGUCGAACGGAAAGGCCUGCUUUCCCUUGUGGAUUGCGGGUACUCGAGUGGCGAACGGGUGAGUAACACGUGAGUGAUCUGCCCCCAACUUGGGUAUAAGCCUGGGAAACUGGGUCUAAUUCCCGAUAGGACUGCAGGGUGGUGCCUGUGGUGGAAAACGAUUUUCUAGUGGUUGGGGAUGAGCUCGCGGCCUAUCAGCUUGUUGGUGGGGUAAUGGCCUACCAAGGCGGCGACGGGUAGCCGGCCUGAGAGGGUGGACGGCCCAAUUGGGACUGGGAUACGGGCCAGACUCCUACGGGAGGCAGCAGUGGGGAAUAUUGCACAAUGGGCGGAAGCCUGAUGCAGCGACGCCGCGUGGGGGAUGACGGCCUUCGGGUUGUAAACUCCUUUCGACCGCGAGGAAGCCACCUGGUUGGAAGGGUGGUGACGGUAGUGGUAGAAGAAGCACCGGCUAACUACGUG